ACAAGCAGUGGGAGCACAGGUUUACCUGUGUGACUGCGUACCUUUUGUAUAAUGGGUCAGCGACUUAUAUUCUGUAGCAAGGUUAACCGUAUAGGGGAGCCGGAGGGAAACCGAGUCUUAAUUGGGCGUUAAGUUGCAGGGUAUAGACCCGAAACCCGGUGAUCUAGCCAUGGGCAGGUUGAAGGUUGGGUAACACUAACUGGAGGACCGAACCGACUAAUGUUGAAAAAUUAGCGGAUGACCUGUGGCUGGGGGUGAAAGGCCAAUCAAACCGGGAGAUAGCUGGUUCUCCCCGAAAGCUAUUUAGGUAGCGCCUCGUGAAUUCAUCUCCGGGGGUAGAGCACUGUUUCGGCUAGGGGGCCAUCCCGGCUUACCAACCCGAUGCAAACUGCGAAUACCGGAGAAUGUUAUCACGGGAGACACACGGCGGGUGCUAACGUCCGUCGUGAAGAGGGAAACAACCCAGACCGCCAGCUAAGGUCCCAAAGUCAUGGUUAAGUGGGAAACGAUGUGGGAAGGCCCAGACAGCCAGGAUGUUGGCUUAGAAGCAGCCAUCAUUUAAAGAAAGCGUAAUAGCUCACUGGUCGAGUCGGCCUGCGCGGAAGAUGUAACGGGGCUAAACCAUGCACCGAAGCUGCGGCAGCGAACGUAUCACUUAAAGCGAUUCAGCGGAUGACGAUUGACGGAGCGAAGCGACGUCAAAGCGUAUACAAAGUCGAGUCGGUUUAAGGAUACGUUCGUUGGGUAGGGGAGCGUUCUGUAAGCCUGCGAAGGUGGCCUGUGAGGGUUGCUGGAGGUAUCAGAAGUGCGAAUGCUGACAUAAGUAACGAUAAAGCGGGUGAAAAGCCCGCUCGCCGGAAGACCAAGGGUUCCUGUCCAACGUUAAUCGGGGCAGGGUGAGUCGACCCCUAAGGCGAGGCCGAAAGGCGUAGUCGAUGGGAAACGGGUUAAUAUUCCCGUACUUGGUGUUACUGCGAAGGGGGGACGGAGAAGGCUAUGUUGGCCGGGCGACGGUUGUCCCGGUUUAAGCGUGUAGGUGUGUGUUCCAGGUAAAUCCGGUUCACUUUAACACUGAGGCGUGA
Molecule: ribosomal RNA, 1082 nt
Filed under: Salmonella enterica subsp. enterica serovar Rissen
Lineage: Bacteria; Pseudomonadati; Pseudomonadota; Gammaproteobacteria; Enterobacterales; Enterobacteriaceae
Description: partial 23S ribosomal RNA
Rfam family: Bacterial large subunit ribosomal RNA
Source: RNAcentral